UAAAUGGCGCUAUGGGGAUUAGCUGUCUUUUUACAAUUAUCUAAAAAUUAUAUAAGGGGUGAAAAUACCCUUUUAGAAAAAUAAGACGAGAAGACCCUUAGAAUUAUAAUAAUUUAUUAAUUUUUUAAUAAGUAUUUUUGUUGGGGCAACAGUAACCUAUAUAAAACAAACGGUUAAAAAUAAAUUAAACAAGAAUUAUUUAGAGCGAAAGAAAUAAAUUACCUGAGGGAUAACAGCAUAAUUUAUAUUUAAGAUUAUGACCUCGAUGUUGGACUAGGGUCUAUUUUCAUUAGACAUAAAAAUAGCUUGUUCUGUUCGAACAAAUUUACCCUACGUGAUCUGAGUUCAGAACCCUACGNGAUCUGA
This 366-nucleotide ribosomal RNA is filed under the name Mastus dirphicus. RNAcentral's name for it is "partial 16S ribosomal RNA". Lineage: Eukaryota; Metazoa; Mollusca; Gastropoda; Stylommatophora; Enidae. The record is from RNAcentral.